GAUGAACGCUGGCGGCGUGCCUAAUACAUGCAAGUAGAACGCUGAAGGAAGGAGCUUGCUCUUUCCGGAUGAGUUGCGAACGGGUGAGUAACGCGUAGGUAACCUGCCUGGUAGCGGGGGAUAACUAUUGGAAACGAUAGCUAAUACCGCAUAACAGUAGAUAUUGCAUGAUAUCUGCUUGAAAGGGGCAAUUGCUCCACUACCAGAUGGACCUGCGUUGUAUUAGCUAGUUGGUGAGGUAACGGCUCACCAAGGCGACGAUACAUAGCCGACCUGAGAGGGUGAUCGGCCACACUGGGACUGAGACACGGCCCAGACUCCUACGGGAGGCAGCAGUAGGGAAUCUUCGGCAAUGGACGGAAGUCUGACCGAGCAACGCCGCGUGAGUGAAGAAGGUUUUCGGAUCGUAAAGCUCUGUUGUAAGAGAAGAACGAGUGUGAGAGUGGAAAGUUCACACUGUGACGGUAUCUACCAG
This 475-nucleotide ribosomal RNA is filed under the name Streptococcus australis. Its description in RNAcentral is "bacterial SSU rRNA". It matches the Rfam family "Bacterial small subunit ribosomal RNA", at positions 28 to 486 of the family's 1533-position model. The record is from RNAcentral. Lineage: Bacteria; Bacillati; Bacillota; Bacilli; Lactobacillales; Streptococcaceae.